AUUGAACGCUGGCGGCAGGCCUAUCACAUGCAAGUCGAGCGGAUGAAGGGAGCUUGCUCCUGGAUUCAGCGGCGGACGGGUGAGUAAUGCCUAGGAAUCUGCCUGGUAGUGGGGGAUAACGUCCGGAAACGGGCGCUAAUACCGCAUACGUCCUGAGGGAGAAAGUGGGGGAUCUUCGGACCUCACGCUAUCAGAUGAGCCUAGGUCGGAUUAGCUAGUUGGUGGGGUAAAGGCCUUCCAAGGCGACGAUCCGUAACUGGUCUGAGAGGAUGAUCAGUCACACUGGAACUGAGACACGGUCCAGACUCCUACGGGAGGCAGCAGUGGGGAAUAUUGGACAAUGGGCGAAAGCCUGAUCCAGCCAUGCCGCGUGUGUGAAGAAGGUCUUCGGAUUGUAAAGCACUUUAAGUUGGGAGGAAGGGCAGUAAGUUAAUACCUUGCUGUUUUGACGUUACCAACAGAAUAAGCACCGGCUAACUUCGUG
This 484-nucleotide ribosomal RNA is filed under the name uncultured bacterium. RNAcentral's name for it is "partial 16S ribosomal RNA". It matches the Rfam family "Bacterial small subunit ribosomal RNA", at positions 30 to 507 of the family's 1533-position model. The record is from RNAcentral.